GCUGGAAGGGAGCCUCGCCUGCAGGAGGGGACCGACCUCGCCAGUGGAAGUGCCCUGUGCCCUCCCUAUAGCUGUCACUGCACACACAAUCAUUCGCUCCGGCCAAGAGGUCAGCUAGGAGAACCACCUAUGAAAUCCCACCUUUGGAAUUGCUCAUGUUGCGUAUUUGUUUUGCCUUGGACGAUAGAGAACGCAAAGGGUUCACAGACCAUUCCUCAGAGCAGGUGUGUCCGAGCUUUUCAGCAUAACCAGAGAAAAGUCUUCCUUGGCUUCUUACAAAGACAGCAAAUACCUAUUGCAAAGGAGAAAAAAUUUUAAUUUUAGACUGUUAACAUCCAUUUGAAGAUGUUGCAGAUUGAUAUAAAUAUCCUCAAUAAAAGUAUUAUCAGUUUGUCAA
Non-coding RNA from Taeniopygia guttata (zebra finch), 397 nucleotides. The record is from RefSeq and is a predicted model, not a curated record. NCBI's taxonomy places the organism in Eukaryota, Metazoa, Chordata, Aves, Passeriformes, Estrildidae.